UGAUGCAUAGCCGAGUUGAGAGACUGAUCGGCCACAUUGGGACUGAGACACGGCCCAAACUCCUACGGGAGGCUGCAGUAGGAAUCUUCCACAAUGGGCGAAAGCCUGAUGGAGCAACGCCGCGUGUGUGAUGAAGGCUUUCGGGUCGUAAAGCACUGUUGUAUGGGAAGAAAAGUUAAGGUAGGGAAUGACCUUAGCCUGACGGUACCAUACCAGAAAGGGACGGCUAAAUACGUGCCAGCAGCCGCGGUAAUACGUAUGUCCCGAGCGUUAUCCGGAUUUAUUGGGCGUAAAGCGAGCGCAGACGGUUGGUUAAGUCUGAUGUGAAAGCCCGGAGCUCAACUCCGGAAAGGCAUUGGAAACUGGUUAACUUGAGUGCAGUAGAGGUAAGUGGAACUCCAUGUGUAGCGGUGGAAUGCGUAGAUAUAUGGAAGAACACCAGCGGCGAAGGCGGCUUACUGGACUGUAACUGACGUUGAGGCUCGAAAGUGUGGGUAGCAAACAGGAUUAGAUACCCUGGUAGUCCACACCGUAAACGAUGAACACUAGGUGUUAGGAGGUUUCCGCCUCUUAGUGCCGAAGCUAACGCAUUAAGUGUUCCGCCUGGGGAGUACGACCGCAAGGUUGAAACUCAAAGGAAUUGACGGGGACCCGCACAAGCGGUGGAGCAUGUGGUUUAAUUCGAAGCAACGCGAAGAACCUUACCAGGUCUUGACAUCCUUUGAAGCUUUUAGAAAUAGAAGUGUUCUCUUCGGAGACAAAGUGACAGGUGGUGCAUGGUCGUCGUCAGCUCGUGUCGUGAGAUGUUGGGUUAAGUCCCGCAACGAGCGCAACCCUUAUUGUUAGUUGCCAGCAUUCAGAUGGGCACUCUAGCGAGACUGCCGGUGACAAACCGGAGGAAGGCGGGGACGACGUCAGAUCAUCAUGCCCCUUAUGACCUGGGCUACACACGUGCUACAAUGGCGUAUACAACGAGUUGCCAACCUGCGAAGGUGAGCUAAUCUCUUAAAGUACGUCUCAGUUCGGACUGCAGUCUGCAACUCGACUGCACGAAGUCGGAAUCGCUAGUAAUCGCGGAUCAGCACGCCGCGGUGAAUACGUUCCCGGGUCUUGUACACACCGCCCGUCACACCAUGGAAGUUUGUAAUGCCCAAAGCCGGUGGCCUAACCGUAAGGAGGGAACCGUCUAAG
This 1191-nucleotide ribosomal RNA is filed under the name Leuconostoc carnosum. Its description in RNAcentral is "bacterial SSU rRNA". It matches the Rfam family "Bacterial small subunit ribosomal RNA", at positions 277 to 1461 of the family's 1533-position model. The record is from RNAcentral. Lineage: Bacteria; Bacillati; Bacillota; Bacilli; Lactobacillales; Lactobacillaceae.